CGCGCCCGUCUACCUCGCCGCCGUCCUCGAGUACCUCGCCACCGUCCUCGAGUACCUCGCCGCCGAGGUUCUGGAGUUGGCCGGGAACGCGGCGCGGGACAACAAAAGAACCCAAAGCCGGAGAAGAGGGGACAGGCGGAGAAGAGAAACCCAAAGCCGAGAAGAGAAACCCAAAGCCGGCACCUGACAGCGGACGGACAGCCGGGCUCCUCCUUCUUCUCAGGUCCACUCCGAGCUCCGGCGGGCAGGCUCGAUGUGGGUGACAGCAGCGGAGAAGAAAUCCACGGCAGGUUGGAUGUGGGUCACACCAAAGAGCGGCGGAGAAACAGAGGACAAUCCUCUUCUCCGGUCAGAGGACAAUCCUCUUCUCCGGUCUCCUACACCACCGCCGGAGACCGAGACAAGCUUCUUGGAAGAGAUCGAGAGAGAGCCGCUGCCGAAAGGACCUCUCGUUGCCGCCGGCCGCUAGCUCGAAGAGAAGUGAGAUGGGAGAAGGAGACUCUCGGGACAAUGGAAGAACCUCAGCUAACCUCCGGCCAUUAGCUCGAAAAGAAGAAUGAUGGGAGAAGAAGACUGGAGAAGAGGGGAGAGGGAAAGAGGCUCUCGUAGAGCUAGAGAAGGUGAGGCUCUGAUACCAU
This 638-nucleotide long non-coding RNA is filed under the name Phoenix dactylifera (date palm). Its description in RNAcentral is "long non-coding RNA (PDAC_LNC020177)". The record is from RNAcentral. Lineage: Eukaryota; Viridiplantae; Streptophyta; Magnoliopsida; Arecales; Arecaceae.